CUCCGGCCUCCCGACAGGCUCCGCGUGCUUUACGCGCCAGCUUUGGCCUUAGCCAGCGAGUGGCAGAAUCGCGGCAGAGGAUGGAGAGCAGCGAUGAAGCGGCCGUCGAGAAAUGCCGAAUCCACUUGCGCCCCGGCACGCUGCGCGACGCGCCUCCCGCCACGUUGCACCUUCUGCCCUGCGAGGUUCUGGUUAGCCGGCCUGCCCCCGUGGGGCGCUUCUUCACCCCAGCCAUCCGCCAGGGUCCCGACGGACUGGAAGUGUCGUUUCGGGGCCGCAAACUACGCGGCGAGGAGGUGGUGGUGCCGCCUGGGCUCGUGGGCUACGUGAUGGAAGAAAAGGGAGAGGGGUUGGUGGGGAAGGGCUUCUCGGAGGGUUCGUCGAAUGACAACGAGCAAGAGCAGCAGGAGCUGGCGGAACCCCCAGAGGCGCUGGAGCGGGACUUUGACCGGUUCAUUGGAGCCACCGCUAGUUUCAGUGGCUUCACGCUGUGGGGCCUGGAGACCAUCCCCGGUCCGGAUGCCAAAGUGCGCGGGGCCCUAACCUGGCCCAGUCUCGCUGCCGCGGGAACUCCUGGCCCCUCCCCAGUGAACUUCCACCUGUCCUCAAGAACUGCCUGGAAUGGGUGCUUCUGGUGCACCGGUCUGCUCCUGCUGGGGAGAACUGAGCACAUCUUGGUGACCUUGACCAUAACCUGUCUCCACUGAGGUCUGAGCUCCCAAGCUUAGAUGCAUUUUAAGUAUCUGCCUGCUCUACCAGACUGAGGGCUUCCUGGGGAUGUGCCACCAUCCAGCAUCAUUCUACUAAUAAAAUUCCUCAAAUGGACCACGACCUGGAUUAAGUCAAGCCUCUGUGUCUUCACCAAACAGCUAACACUCCCUCCCAUCUCCCAGGUCAGAGCUUGGUUAUCCCAAGGAUUCAGUGAGUAGAGAGUUGAUUAGAGUGGAGAUAAGAUACUGGGAAGCAGAAGGGGUCCUUGCAGUUGGAGGAACAGGGAAGAGUUCAUGUAUUACGAGGGACAGAGUCCCUUCUGGGCUUUAAAGAGACUGAUCUGCCUGAAUCCAAGAAGCAGAGGCCAAAUGCACACAAAAAUUUGCUGAGUUAACACCAUUUUGAUGUUUGAUGACAUUCUGAUCAUCUGUCUGCAAGGCUCAGGCAACAACUAGGGAAACGGAGGCACCGGUCCUCACCUAGGAACUUGUAUGACGGCAUAGAAGCAGACAGAUAAACAACAGUGGCUCACCUGGCCUCUGCCUGUGGCCCUCGGCAGGAGCCUAUGAGUCAGAUUUGGGGAAAGUUGGGUGGUGCUUAGAACCUUAGCCAAGAAGGAGUGAGGGGCUGAGAACCUAACAAACGAGCAGGGCAGUCACGCUGAGAAUGGAAGAGAACCUCAGGAGAGUCUCAUCUUUAUUUCUGGCCAGCUCCCCUGGCGAUGGGGCUGCACAGCAGGGCUGACAGUAGCCUGGCAUGUCUAAGAGGGAGGCACAACAGGGGCACUGGUGCCGGGCCCGCCAGUACCCAACCCCAGCCCCUGGCCGAGGGCACAGGUACUCACUGAACUCGAUCAGCAGCUUGCCGUAGCCCCGGCGCUGGUAGGGAGGCAGGGUCAGGAUGCAGGCCACGUUGUAGUCUUCCGUGGAUUCCUUUUCCUAGAAAGCAGGGGUGGGUGAGUGAGGAGGGGGACACAGCUCAGGGCAGGGCCGAGAGAGGAUCCAGGUGAGCACUCACCUUGGAAAAGUAGCCCACAAUGUGGAAGCCCUUACAGUCAUACUCGGUCAUGACAUAGAAGAGGAAGGGAUCUGUGUCAUAGUACAAUGUCUUAUGGUCGAGAAAACACUUGGCCAGGAGACACAGGUUCUGGGAAUAACUCUGCAAAGGAAAAGGCCUGUCACCAUUCUGGGUACCCAGUCUUAAACGUAGUCACUUAGUUUCUUUACCCGAGGCUGAUAGGUGAUGAACCUUCCUCCCUGGGGUCUGAUCCAUUCAAUGGGUCAGGCUGUCUCUGCCACUCAGGCAGAGCGACUUCUCAGUGCUGAGCCCAUAUACCAGCUCCACGAUGGUGCCUGACCACCUGCCUUGCUGGUGGGCUGGGCAGGCUUACCCCCGGGCGCCAUACCUCCACCUAAGUCUCGCCCAGGGGGCUUCCACUGCCCUCUGCUGUAGUUGACAACAGUCAACAAAUUGCAGCGUGUUUCCAGGAAGGCAGACUGCCACGGCUUAUGAGCAGCUCUACCCAGGUGACGGUCCUAGGAAUCUACCUGUCCAAAACCACAACACUCUCUGGCCCGCGGUCACACCUACUGGAGGCUGACCUCCUAUCCUACAAUGGAGAUUAGGUGUUCUGAAACUGAAAGGGAACAGCCUCCGGGGUUGCCCAGCAAAAUGAUUAAUCUUGCUGCUCUACCUCUAUACACAUUUUUCUCCUGCAUACCAGACGUGGCUUUUUAACCACCUGCUGGGCACUGCCAUCUGGAUGCCUAAAUCCACAUUUAACCACAAAGAACAGCAGUUAAAGCGUCUUCCUGCAAGCUUCCCCAGCACCCACACCAGAGCUCUCACCUGCCCUUCAAGAUGCUUCUCCCUCACUGCCCUCUCUGCCCUGGGAAUGACCUCACAGUCCUAACGGUCCCUCCAGAUUACUCCUUCCUUCCCGCAGCCACAGACUGAGGCAGGUUUGAAGCCCAAACCUGCAGUGACCCCUACUCCUCCCCCAACUGACCUUAUUCUCACCACCUGAGCUCUGCUUCUUGUAACAACCUUGCCUCAUGCUCUCUGCCUUUCAGCCCAAAUGGUCUUGAGCCCUCACACCACCUGUACGUCCAGGCCUACCCUUCAGGACCCUCCUGCUUGUGACUCCCUUACCCACCUUACCCUUGUGUCAAGGAUCAAAGAUGACCUCCUCUGUGAAGUUCUGCUGGCCAUCUCCUCUGGAUCUGAGCCCCCUCCCCUCCCCCCCGCCCUUUGUUUCAUGACACUUAUCCCUGGAAUCUGAAGAUACUGGCAAAUCUGUUUUUUCCAGACUGUGAACACUUAGAGCCUUUGUCUAGUUACUGGUCAUCUUUAUACCUCCCCACACCCGCCCUACGGCAGGAACUCCAUAAAAAUGGGAUAAACUAAUCUGCUGAUCAGACUGCUCAGUGUGUUCCUGAGCAGGGGGAAGCUGCUCAUUUAACUCCCCCCUACACCACCAGUGCCAAUGGCUCCCCACUGCCCCUGAGCCACAGACCUUGUUCUUACGUCCAUCAAUCUCAAAGAAAGAGAUGGUGCCCUUGCGGUAAAUCUCAUUGCCCGGAGGAUGUCGCAGGUCACACUUGGUCUGAGGAAGACAGGAGGAUCAGAGGCAGGGGCAGGGUGGAGGGCAGCAGGCAGGCAGCCUCCUGGGACCCCUCAUACCAAGUGACGCUGCAGACACUUCAGGCUACGGCCGUAUUUGAGGCAGAACUCGCAGAGGUAGAGGACGGGCAAUGUGGUAAGCUCCUGUGGGUACGGGGAGAAGUACCACGGCUUCAGGCGGUGCCGGCCCAGCUCGAUGCACUCGAUGUUCUUCAUCCGGGUAACGAUGUCGUCGUGGCUGCGGUCAGACACCAAGCUGCCAGUCAUGCGUGGAGCCGACGGUAUUCCAUCUGAGCUGUCCUGGGAGUCCUGCCCAGGGCCAGUGGAGAACACCAGGUUACAGGACACAGCUCGCGUAACCCUUCCAUAGCUUUCCUUGUUCAAGCCUAACAACAACCCUGUGGGGUAGUGUGGUACUACAUUCAGCACUUUCCAGGAAAAGAAAAGGAAACUAGGAAAGGUUUCAAUUGUAGUUUGAAAAAGAUCACCCAGUGACUGAUCUGGACCAGCUCUGCCUGGCUCAUAACCCUACCUAGAUCCUUCACUGCCUACAACCUCUUAUUUAUUCAUUAAAAAAAAAUUUUUUUUUAACAUUUGUUUAUUAUUGAGAGACAGACAAAGACAGAGCAUGAGCACGGGAGGGGCACAGAGAGGAGACACAGAAUCCAAAGCAGGAUCCAGACUCUGAACGGUCAGCACAGAGCCCGAGGCGGGCUUGAACUCACUGGGAGACCAUGACCUGAGCAGAAGUCAGACGCUCAAGCGACUGUGCCCCCCAGGCGCCCCAACCUAUUUAUUUUUAAGCCAAUCACUGAACUCUCCACCCUGCCUGUGUCCCCUCCUUUUCACCCAGCUUUCCUCUUCCCCAGACCUACCUCAUCAGUGCCCAAGCAAUUUGAUUUUCGCUUCCGUCCUGGCUGAGCUGCCACUGCCCUACGGGCGGAUCCAUUCUGCAGGUGAAAUUGUAGGAACGGAAAAGGUGGCUGUGAGAUGAGCUUUAAAGAGGCCACCAGAGGGGAGAAGCGAAGAAGAAAACAAGGGUUUGGGGAACUUACCUGAGGAAAAACUGAGGCUGGCGCUGUCUCGCUGGGCACUGGAGUUGCUGGUGAAACCACCUCCACCUUCCGUUUCUGCAGAGAGAAACCAAGAAAGGUGGGUCAGAAGGUAGAGAAGGUGGGACCUAAGAGGAAAGCAAGGUCCCUGGAAUUGCUGAGGGUACCGUUGAGCGGUGGUUGGGCUGCAGGCAGGAGCUGGAGGAGAGCGGCUGGUCAGGCUCGCCACCGGGAAUGGCCUCCCGCUCCUUGGGCAGGUUGAAGCGGAGUGUGAUCUGGACCGGGAUUGGCAAGGUCUUCCCGCUGGCCUGGGCGGAGGCCGGCUGUAGAGAUAGGUCCAGGGUCUUCCUCUGGGGUGGGGAUGGUUGUGGGAUGGGGAAGGGGAGUAGGGGCCCCUCAGCGUGGAGUGAUCAAACCCCACCCUCUGCCCUCUCAAGGACAUAGGAAUAGCUACUGGACUCUGGAAGCUACAUCUGGAAUUUGGCCCCCAUCCUUUGCAAGCUGAAGCCAGAGUGGAAGGGUGUGGACUCCUACCCAUCCAGGAGCCCCUGAGGCCAAGAGAUGAGAAAAGUAGGAGGCAGGAGAAAAAAGGUGAAGCACGGGACCUACUCACCACCUCUCUCUCUGGAGAGCCGGGGCGGGACCCAGGAAGUCCGUUCUUGGUGGGGGUCUUGGCCUCUUUCUUGGGGAACUGGAUCUUCUUUAGGUCCAGCCGCUCGUGGGUCACCCAUUCAUCCAGGCGUUUGUUGACUGUAGCAGUGGGGAUGGCUCAGGAAGGAAUGCCAGAGGCUGCCUCCCAACCCCACCCUGCAGCCCUACCUCACCCCAACCUAGAACUCACAGUCAAUAUAAUGAACGUAGAAAAGCUUGCGGCCACUGAUGUCCUUCACACUCAGGAUCUCGGCCAAGGCUGUGGGAACAGCACAGGCAGGAGCCUUAGACGAGCCAGGCGAUGAGGAUCCACCCUCCUAAGACCUGAUCUCCACCCCCAGACUGGAUCCCCAGCACUUGGAAGCCUUCGCCCAAACCCCUUUUUAGUCACCAAGUGCCGCCCCCUCUCCAGGCCCCGCCCUGUCCAUCUCCGAGCGGCUGAGAGCCACGCCCCUCCCGGGUAUCUGCGCCCCGCCCGCCCCAGGAUUAUAGAGGCCCCACCCCCUCCCGAGGGUUCGGUUGACUCCCUCCCGCCCCUCGCCCUCAGGUUCCUUAGCCCCGCCCCCCGACGUCACUCACGCCACUCAUCUUCGUUGUCCUGGUUCCGCCGAAGCACGGGCAGGCGGCAGCCCUCGAUUAUCUCCCCCUGGGGAGACAGCGCGGCGCCAGGGUCGGCUACUGGGGGGCCUCGGGUUCUACCCACCUCCCCUGGCUCCCUCCGCCCCGCCCCGGGCACCGGACUCACCACCUCCGCCAUCUUCCCUCCCUCCACUGCCACUUCCGGCCCCUCUGGGAGACGUCACUUCCGGGACUGAUAGCGCUGCAGGCCCGCGCCUCCUGAAGCCGCUUUAGAAGAAGACAUUUAAGAGACACCGCUAUCCAGCUGGAAGCAGGCAGGCGUCCCGUUUGGCUGGCGGGAGAGUGGGGUGUUUUAAAUGAAGGCGUGGGUCCUAGGUGGAAUCCCCGAAAGGCGCACAACGAUUGGAGGAAAGCUGAGUCCGUCACGUGACGCCCACCGGGUGCGACGCCGAUCACGUGGUUACGGCGCGGGUCACGUGGGACUAGGGCCAGCUAUGGAUCACAGCAGAGUUUCAGUCCCUGCCGCCUUGUCAAAGUCACCCGUGACCCCCAUGGUAAUCCCAUGGCUGCUUCUUGGUCCUCUCGUGAAUGGUAUUUGGCACGGUUGGUCAUUCUCCAGUCCUUGAAACACUUGCCCUUGUUGCCAGGAUACCAGACCCUCCUGGUUCCCAUCCAACUUCCGUGGUGGCUGCCCCUUAUCUCCUCUGCUAGUUCCUCUUCCUGUCCGUGACCGUUAAAUGUUCACAGGCCCCAGGUUCAGUCCUGGACUUCGUGGCUUUACAUAACAUUCACAUGCUGAGGUUUCUCAAACUUGUAUCUUCAGCUUAGAUCUCUUCCCCAGCUCCACUCUCGCUGCCCGUUCAGCAUCUCUGCCUGGAUGUCUAGGGGUCAUAUCCAAAAACAAACUCCUGGUCUUCCUUCCUAACGGUCUCCUCCCGCUCUCUUUCUUGUCCCUGUCAGUGAAAAUUUUAUCCAUCCGGCUUGUCAGACCAAGAACCUUGAAGUCAUCGGACUUGACUUCUCUCUCAUUCAGUCCGCCAGCAAAUACUUGAGGCUGUGCCACUUCUCUCUGCCUUCACCACUGCCAGCCUGGGGCGAGCUACCGCCAUCGCCUCCCGGAACUGUUGCAGAAGCCUCAUACCCAGGAACGAGAGGGAUCGUUCAAAAAUAUAACUCACACCGUGUCACCGUGAUGAUCAGAAUCCACCAGUGGUUCGUCAUUUACUCAGAGUAAAACCCCAAAUCCCUGUGUAAAUCCAGUCCCAUUACCAUCUGCCGCUUCUCUCUCCAUUCUACUCUGCGACUCACUACAUUCUACCCACACGGGCCUCCCUGUGUUUCCAGGACUUAGGAAGUUCCUUUCUCUGGUCCUUUGCUGUUUCUUUCCUGCAACACUUUCUCUCCUUUUAUCCACUUGGCUUAGUCCUCACCUCAUUCAAGCCUUUGCUCACAUAUCACCUUCCCAGUGAGGCCACCUCUGACCUCCUCAGUUAAGCCUGCCCAUCCCCCACCCACCUCAUCUCCCCGCUCCUUACUUCAUUGUCCUGCAGAGAAUUUUCACCAGCCAUCGAGCCAUAUAUUUUCCUUAUUUACUCAGUACUGUCUUUCCCUCACUAGAAUGUAGGAUCCAUGAACACAGUAUUUGUAUUGUUUUGUCCAGCGCUAUGCUCCUAGCUUCUAGAAUAGUGCCUGGCUUCCAGGAGGCAUUCCAUUAAAACCUGUCAAAUGGAUUAAGCACAUGAUUUCUCCAGGGAGCCAGAGAUGCAGACUGACAUUUACUGCAGAGAGUGAUUAGUCUCAUAAGAUGGGAAGGAAACCUAAGCUCAGAGGAGACAGAUCCAGGGAAGGAUCUCAGAGCAUCUGAUGUUUGACCUACAGUUUAGAGGAUGAGCAAGUAGCAAGAGAAGGGACUUGGGGGACAUUCCGGGAAGUGAGGACGGCAACAGCAAAGAAAAACGGAGAAAAGAAACAGUUGGCGA
Molecule: RNA transcript, 7594 nt
Organism: Acinonyx jubatus (cheetah)
Lineage: Eukaryota; Metazoa; Chordata; Mammalia; Carnivora; Felidae
Gene: RNASEH2C
Gene name: ribonuclease H2 subunit C
Exons: 5
Source: RefSeq, a predicted model, not a curated record